AAAAGCCCUCGCUGCGACAUCUGCCACCCAGCCGCUCGCUAGGGUGGGCCUGGCUGGUCUGGCUGGCCAGGUGGCUGUCCCCUGCCGCCCUCCCCAUUCUGUGUGCUUCCCUGUGCAAGCUGCACCUUCAAUCUAAGAGGAUGACCACCCCAGUAGAGAAGGCCCGUUUCCCAGGUCCAGGGUUUAUGAGUAGCUGCACUCCCUGGCUAGAACUCCAAACAAGCUCCCGAUCGACGCCUUGGGUGUCCCAAGCAUUCUGCACACUUUAUUAAAUUUUAGUUAAAUUUCAGU
This is an unclassified non-coding RNA of Fukomys damarensis (Damara mole-rat), 291 nucleotides long. Its record names the gene 7SK. It matches the Rfam family "7SK RNA". From Rfam's summary of the family: 7SK was discovered as an abundant small nuclear RNA in the mid-70s but a possible function has only recently been suggested. Two independent studies have found that 7SK RNA binds the CDK9/cyclin T complex (known as elongation factor P-TEFb). P-TEFb activates transcription by phosphorylating the C-terminal domain of RNA polymerase II. The record is from Ensembl. Lineage: Eukaryota; Metazoa; Chordata; Mammalia; Rodentia; Bathyergidae.